RNAcentral lists this ribosomal RNA (422 nucleotides) under uncultured bacterium. RNAcentral's name for it is "bacterial SSU rRNA". It matches the Rfam family "Bacterial small subunit ribosomal RNA", at positions 355 to 774 of the family's 1533-position model. The record is from RNAcentral.
UGAGGAAUAUUGGGCAAUGCCCGCAAGGGUGACCCAGCAACGCCGCGUGGAGGAUGAAUGUCGGAAGAUUGUAAACUCCUGUUAGAGGGGAAGAAUAGUACCGGUUGGACCGGUAUAUGACUGUACCCUCAGAGAAAGCCCCGGCUAACUACGUGCCAGCAGCCGCGGUAAUACGUAGGGGGCAAGCGUUGUCCGGAUUUACUGGGUGUAGAGGGCGCGCAGGCGGGAUAAAAAGUCAGUGGUGAAAUCCUACAGCUUAACUGUAGAACUGCCUUUGAUACUUUUAUUCUUGAGUUCGGGAGAGAGAGACGGAAUUCCAGGUGUAGUGGUGAAAUACGUAGAUAUCUGGAAGAACACCAGUUGCGAAGGCGGUCUCUUGGUCCGACACUGACGCUGAGGCGCGAAAGCGUGGGGAGCAAACA